Molecule: transfer RNA, 90 nt
Filed under: Planctomycetota bacterium
Lineage: Bacteria; Pseudomonadati; Planctomycetota
Description: Planctomycetes bacterium tRNA-OTHER
Source: RNAcentral
GCCAUUUUUAGGCCAUAUUCGCAGAUUGUGGAAAGAUGAAAAAUUGCUUUCGUAAAGCAUAGGUCGUCGGUUCGAAUCCGAUGGGUGGCU